Molecule: long non-coding RNA, 936 nt
Filed under: Citrus x clementina
Lineage: Eukaryota; Viridiplantae; Streptophyta; Magnoliopsida; Sapindales; Rutaceae
Description: Citrus clementina (C. clementina) long non-coding RNA (CCLE_LNC006894)
Source: RNAcentral
AAAAGUAACGAUAGUAGUAUUAAUAAUUUAACGGCAAGGAUGUUUCGAGUCAUUUAAAAAAGAAUAUAAAGAAUAAAUGAUCACUAAUCUUAAAAUAUAAGGACUAAAUGAACUUUUACCCAUUAAAAUAAAUAAGAUCAUUUCUCGCAAGAUAUGCCCUAUCAUACGGAGAGAUCCAAGCGUUUUAGGAGCAAAUACAUAAAAACUUUCACGAAGUCGUGCACAGUGAACAUAGUGGUGUAGGUCCUAAUAAUUUAUCAUGGACUUAGUAUUUGACUGAUUAUAACUAGUGAUGAUCUAUGUGAUCUGCCCAAAAUGCCAUUCACGUGAAUCGUAUAUGUCCAGUUUAUUCAUUGAGACCAAAGUUGAUUAAUCAAUUGAUAGCCCCACCUAUAAGUCAACAUUUAAAUAUUUCACAACGAAAGGUGCCAAAAAAAAAAAUAUUGCGGUGGGAUUAGUCUUUUUUGUCACUAGUGUAUUGUCGUUUUGUCGAUUCUUCAAAUAAUUAAGAAAAGAGAAAAUUAUGUUUUAUUCUUAAUAGAUGUUAUAUUUAUUAUUUACUUUUUUAUUAACUUUUUAAUUAUGUAUUUCACCCCUUUAUUAAGAGAUAACAUAAUUAAUCAUGAAAAUAAUAGCAAAACAGUGAGAUCAUAAUUUUUCAUUUGCAAAAAGGAAAAAAAAAAAAAGAUCCUCAGAAUAAUUUGGCAAUACAAAUUGUCGGAGUAUAUGCAAUUGAUUUUUGCAACUUUAGCGAUUCCAAGCGUUACCUCGAAGAUUUGCCACGUUUUAUUAUUAUUAUUAUUUUAUUUUUCUUUUGUGGGAAACUCGCUUGAUAUUUCUUGCGAUGAAAUAGUCUAAGUGUCUGUUUGGUAUGACUUAUUUAAAAGUCAUAAGUGCUUAUUUAAUCGUAUAAGUACUUUUUAAAAUUUUUUAUGG